AGAACGAACGCUGGCGGCAUGCCUAACACAUGCAAGUCGAACGAAGGCUUCGGCCUUAGUGGCGCACGGGUGCGUAACGCGUGGGAACCUGCCCCUUGGUUCGGAAUAACAGUUAGAAAUGACUGCUAAUACCGGAUAAUGACUUCGGUCCAAAGAUUUAUCGCCGAGGGAUGGGCCCGCGUAGGAUUAGCUUGUUGGUGAGGUAAAAGCUCACCAAGGCGACGGUCCUUAGCUGGUCUGAGAGGAUGAUCAGCCACACUGGGACUGAGACACGGCCCAGACUCCUACGGGAGGCAGCAGUGGGGAAUAUUGGACAAUGGGACGAAAAGGCCCGU
Molecule: ribosomal RNA, 335 nt
Filed under: uncultured soil bacterium
Lineage: Bacteria
Description: bacterial SSU rRNA
Rfam family: Bacterial small subunit ribosomal RNA
Source: RNAcentral